GGUUAAGCGACUAAGCGUACACGGUGGAUGCCUAGGCAAUCAGAGGCGAUGAAGGACGUGCUAAUCUGCGAAAAGCGUCGGUAAGGUGAUAUGAACCGUUAUAACCGACGAUGUCCGAAUGGGGAAACCCAGUGCAAUUCGUUGCACUAUCGUUUGAUGAAUCCAUAGUCAAACGAGGCGAACCGGGGGAACUGAAACAUCUCAGUACCCCGAGGAAAAGAAAUCAACCGAGAUUCCCCUAGUAGCGGCGAGCGAACGGGGAGCAGCCCAGAGUCUUAAUCAGCAUCAGCAUCAGGAGAACGGUCUGGAAAGGCCGGCAAUAAAGGGUGAUAGCCCCGUAUCCGAAGGUGUUGGUGUUGUGAACUCGACGAGUAGGGCGGGACACGUGUUAUCCUGUCUGAAUAUGGGGGGACCAUCCUCCAAGGCUAAAUACUCCUGAUUGACCGAUAGUGAACCAGUACCGUGAGGGAAAGGCGAAAAGAACCCCGGCGAGGGGAGUGAAAUAGAACCUGAAACCGUGUACGUACAAGCAGUGGGAGUGAUAAAUCAAGGGGGUGACUGCGUACCUUUUGUAUAAUGGGUCAGCGACUUAUAUUCUGUAGCAAGGUUAACCGAAUAGGGGAGCCGUAGGGAAACCGAGUCUUAACUGGGCGAAUGAGUUGCAGGGUAUAGACCCGAAACCCGGUGAUCUAGCCAUGGGCAGGUUGAAGGUUGGGUAACACUAACUGGAGGACCGAACCGACUAAUGUUGAAAAAUUAGCGGAUGACUUGUGGCUGGGGGUGAAAGGCCAAUCAAACCGGGAGAUAGCUGGUUCUCCCCGAAAGCUAUUUAGGUAGCGCCUCGUGAACUCAUCUUCGGGGGUAGAGCACUGUUUCGGCUAGGGGGUCAUCCCGACUUACCAACCCGAUGCAAACUACGAAUACCGAAGAAUGUUAUCACGGGAGACACACGGCGGGUGCUAACGUUCGUCGUGAAGAGGGAAACAACCCAGACCGCCAGCUAAGGUCCCAAAGUCAUGGUUAAGUGGGAAACGAAGUGGGAAGGCUCAGACAGCCAGGAUGUUGGCUUAGAAGCAGCCAUCAUUUAAAGAAAGCGUAAUAGCUCACUGGUCGAGUCGGCCUGCGCGGAAGAUGUAACGGGGCUAAACCAUGCACCGAAGCUGCGGCAGCGACAUUUAGAUGUUGUUGGGUAGGGGAGCGUUCUGUAAGCCUGUGAAGGUGUGCUGCGAGGCAUGCUGGAGGUAUCAGAAGUGCGAAUGCUGACAUAAGUAACGAUAAUGCGGGUGAAAAACCCGCACGCCGGAAGACCAAGGGUUCCUGUCCAACGUUAAUCGGGGCAGGGUGAGUCGACCCCUAAGGCGAGGCAGAAAUGCGUAGUCGAUGGGAAACAGGUUAAUAUUCCUGUACUGGUGAUAAUUGCGAUGGGGGGACGGAGAAGGCUAGGCUGGCCGGGCGACGGUUGUCCCGGUUUAAGGAUGUAGGUGGGUGAAUUAGGCAAAUCCGGUUCGCUAUACACUGAGGUCUGAUGACGAGUCACUACGGUGGCGAAGUAGCUCAUGCCCCGCUUCCAGGAAAAGCCUCUAAGCUCUAGAUUAUCAUUAAUCGUACCCCAAACCGACACAGGUGGUCAGGUAGAGAAUACUCAGGCGCUUGAGAGAACUCGGGUGAAGGAACUAGGCAAAAUGGUGCCGUAACUUCGGGAGAAGGCACGCUGGCAUUAGGUGAAGUGGUUUACCCAUGGAGCUGAAGCCAGUCGCAGAUACCAGCUGGCUGCAACUGUUUAUUAAAAACACAGCACUGUGCAAACACGAAAGUGGACGUAUACGGUGUGACGCCUGCCCGGUGCUGGAAGGUUAAUUGAUGGGGUUAUCCGUAAGGAGAAGCUCUUGAUCGAAGCCCCAGUAAACGGCGGCCGUAACUAUAACGGUCCUAAGGUAGCGAAAUUCCUUGUCGGGUAAGUUCCGACCUGCACGAAUGGCGUAAUGAUGGCCAGGCUGUCUCCACCCGAGACUCAGUGAAAUUGAACUCGCUGUGAAGAUGCAGUGUACCCGCGGCAAGACGGAAAGACCCCGUGAACCUUUACUAUAGCUUGACACUGAACAUUGAGCCUUGAUGUGUAGGAUAGGUGGGAGGCUUUGAAGUGUGGACGCCAGUCUGCAUGGAGCCAACCUUGAAAUACCACCCUUUAAUGUUUGAUGUUCUAACGUUGCCCCAUAAUCUGGGGUGCGGACAGUGUCUGGUGGGUAGUUUGACUGGGGCGGUCUCCUCCCAAAGCGUAACGGAGGAGCACGAAGGUUGGCUAAGCAUGGUCGGACAUCAUGCGGUUAGUGCAAAGGCAUAAGCCAGCUUGACUGCGAGAGUGACGGCUCGAGCAGGUACGAAAGUAGGUCUUAGUGAUCCGGUGGUUCUGAAUGGAAGGGCCAUCGCUCAACGGAUAAAAGGUACUCCGGGGAUAACAGGCUGAUACCGCCCAAGAGUUCAUAUCGACGGCGGUGUUUGGCACCUCGAUGUCGGCUCAUCACAUCCUGGGGCUGAAGUAGGUCCCAAGGGUAUGGCUGUUCGCCAUUUAAAGUGGUACGCGAGCUGGGUUUAGAACGUCGUGAGACAGUUCGGUCCCUAUCUGCCGUGGGCGUUGGAAGAUUGAAAGGGGCUGCUCCUAGUACGAGAGGACCGGAGUGGACGCACCGCUGGUGUUCGGGUUGUCAUGCCAAUGGCACUGCCCGGUAGCUAAGUGCGGAAGAGAUAACCGCUGAAAGCAUCUAAGCGGGAAACUUGCCUUGAGAUGAGUCUUCCCUGACUCUUUAAGGGUCCUAAAGGAACGUUUAAGACGAAGACGUUGAUAGGCUGGGUGUGUAAGCGUAGCGAUACGUUGAGCUAACCAGUACUAAUGAACCGUGAGGCUUAACCU
Molecule: ribosomal RNA, 2908 nt
Filed under: Providencia stuartii MRSN 2154
Lineage: Bacteria; Pseudomonadati; Pseudomonadota; Gammaproteobacteria; Enterobacterales; Morganellaceae
Description: bacterial LSU rRNA
Rfam family: Bacterial large subunit ribosomal RNA
Source: RNAcentral